RNAcentral lists this transfer RNA (89 nucleotides) under Acidobacteriota bacterium. Its description in RNAcentral is "Acidobacteria bacterium (drinking water metagenome) tRNA-Ser". Lineage: Bacteria; Pseudomonadati; Acidobacteriota. The record is from RNAcentral.
UCCAUAGUAGUUGGUGGUAUCCGGUACGUUUGCCUCGACUGCAACUGUUAACCGGAGGGUUGCUGGUUCGAAUCCAGCCCGAGGAGCCA